RNAcentral lists this long non-coding RNA (2089 nucleotides) under Homo sapiens (human). RNAcentral's name for it is "non-protein coding lnc-TIAL1-1:5". Lineage: Eukaryota; Metazoa; Chordata; Mammalia; Primates; Hominidae. The record is from RNAcentral.
GUCGUGGUCACCGGUGGCAGCUCGGGAGCUCGGCCGAGUCGGUCUGGACUGACCGCCUCCCUCCGCGCGGCCUUGGGGACAGGCGCCCACCGCUGGGGCCUCCCCUCCGUGCAGGGAGGCGCUCACGCUUCGCCAGGCCGAGACCUGAAUCCAACCCCACACCCGCUCUCCCGGAGCGGUGCGGGGUACGUUCCCCGCGGGCCUGCGCUGCCUGCCCGUACCGAAACCAGGCGAGACCCCGGGGCCUGGCUACAGGGGUUCAUCCCCAGCCAGGCCCACAGCCAAGCGGAGGCGUCUUCUGUUUUCGUAUUCCCUAUUAGAAGUUUGACAACAGGAGGCAUUCAAUAAAUGCACAUCAACGAGGGAAAGCAUGUAACAAUAGAAAACACACAAGCAUUAGCAGCACGCGGCUAAAGAGCGAGGAGGAAGGGAGGAAUGUACAGGUGCUGCUGUGUCCCGAAUUAAGCAGGGCGGUUUGGAGAAGACUUCACAAAUGGAGCCAGUUAAUGAAGCAAGCGGAAGGAAUAUCGUUUGGCGAGGAUAAGAUGAAUGGAGACCCUCUCGGGGAAGGAGGAGUCUCCCCCAAACAUCCUUGAGCUCAGUCUGUCUUGAAAAACCAGUUGAUAUCCUGAACAGAAUGGGUCUGGAGAAUGAGGCCCCCACUUCCGGGGCCAGUUCGAGGACUAUCUAGCUGUGUGAUCUUGGGGAAGUCUCUUGGUCUCAGAUGGUGGUUGAACUAAUGACCUUUUAUGACACCCCCAGUUCUAUAAAUCAUUGAGUCUUCCUACUCCUAACUCCUUGCCUUCUCUAAUGCCUGAAUCGGAAACAAGAGAAAAAGACAAGAAGUAGGAGAUGAGAAAAAUAAGGCAAUACUUUUUUUUUUUUUUUUUUUAGUUUAGGAGCGGAAGUUUAUAGGCAAAAGAAAAGGGAGAACAGCUGUCUCUCUUGCGAGAGAGAGGAGUGACCGAAUGGGACUUCUCAGAAAGCAAUACUUUUAACCUUCUGCUCAAGUAAAAGUGAGAGGGUACAAAAGCAGGAAGGAGUUCCACAUGACUAGUUAUUCCAGCCCACAGUGUUGAAUUUCCAUAGCACAGAAAGUCCAAUGAUAACAAAGCGUCCUGGAAUCUUUUCUAAGUACCAUGCCUCUGUGCUGUCCAGACACCUCAACAUAAAGGUCGAGGGAGAAACUGACCUUGGAGAGCUGGGACCUUUGCCUAAGCACAUCUUCAGAAUAGUCUCUGAAGGCCUGAACAGAGAGGCCUGCCCCACAUUACUUUCACCCUGAGUGUUUUUCCAAGAUGGUCUGAACCUUCCUGACACCGUCUCUCCUGGCCUGACGCACAUCGGCUCGUCCCUCGGGGUCCACUGAAUCCAGGGCCAGCAGCUCUUUGGUCAAAUACUCUUCGAUCAUCAGGUGUGAAGCUGAACAGAUUCAGACGGAGCUGAGAGGCAAGCAUGACUCAGGGUGCAGAUAGGACACGGGAGUUUGUGCCCAGGAACAACGCUGGCACACACCACAGGAUGAUGUGCAGACAGGAAAAUGAGAGGACUUACUGCUUAGGAAUCCUACUAGGAAUGCCUCAAAUCUCAGCUAAGAACCAGAUUAAGAACUAUUUUUUAGCUAUUAAUGCACAGAAUCCAUUGACAUAUCCCUGAGAUGUUUGGCUUCAGGAUUAAAAUGCUGUCUUAAAGCAGCUGCCUUCCUGACUCCUUAUUUCUUUUGAAACUGUGGUGCACGGUGAGGGCAGGCAUGGGGUCUCAUUUUCCUGUCAACAUAGCUCCACAAGCGGUUAAGAUUUAUCCAUAAGCAUUGAACUGAACAAAAUAAUGCACAGCUAUCUCUGUGCUUCUGAAUAGAAAGCCCAGUGUGAAUAAGGAGCAUGGAAAUUAGGCGCCAGAAGGCAGGCCAGGCUUCCGGUCCCAGCUCUGCUCCCUCCACCUGUGUGCAUCUGGAGCAGGCAGGCUGCAGUGUGCCCUUCCGAGCCGUUCCUUAGCUACAAAAAGAAGCCACAUGAUUCCUGCCCUGCCCCACUGAAGAACAGCCCUAUGAGAUGCUGGGGGAUGAUGUGGGGCCAUCACCCUGUCUUUG